GCUGACAAAAAGAAGUUUAAUCGCCGGCAAACGGAAAACCGCGAUUUCCCGAAAAUCCCUGACUCGGCCCGUUUAGUCAGAAGUAUAGAAAGAAAGUACCCAGGGAGUAAACUCAUUUCCCGAACGAUUUUUUAAAUUAUUUUUUCAUCACUAAAACGCAUGAGACUUGUAGUUUUCAAAAAUUUUUUCAUUUUCGAUGAGACGCUGAAUAAAAGAAGUUUAAUCGCCGGCAAACGAAAACACGCGAUUUCCCGUAAACCCCGAAGUCGGCCCGUAUAGUCAAAAGUAUACAAAGAAGGUACCCAGGGAGUAAACUCAUUUCCCGAACGAUUUUUUAAAUUAUUUUUUCAGCACUAAAACGCAUGAGACUUGUAGUUUUAAAAAAUGUUUUCAUUUUUGAUGAGACACUGAAUAUAAGAAGUUUAAUCGCCGGCAAACGAAAACCCGCGAUUUUCCGUAAACCCCGGAGUCGGCCCGUAUAGUCAAAAGUAUACAAAGAAAGUACCCAGGGAGUAAACUCAUUUCCCGAACUAUUUUUUAAAUUAUUUUUUCAUCACUAAAACGCAUGAGACUUGUAGUUUUCAAAAAAUUUUUCAUUUUCGAUGAGACGCUGAAUAAAAGAAGUUUUAUCGCCGGCAAACGAAAACACGCGAUUUCCCGUAAACCCCGGAUUCGGCCCGUAUUGUCAAAAGUAUACAAAGAAGGUACCCAGGGAGUAAACUCAUUUCCCGAA
Molecule: long non-coding RNA, 733 nt
Organism: Hydractinia symbiolongicarpus
Lineage: Eukaryota; Metazoa; Cnidaria; Hydrozoa; Anthoathecata; Hydractiniidae
Exons: 2
Source: RefSeq, a predicted model, not a curated record